Oncorhynchus keta (chum salmon) is the source of this 1462-nucleotide long non-coding RNA. RefSeq lists it as uncharacterized. NCBI's taxonomy places the organism in Eukaryota, Metazoa, Chordata, Actinopteri, Salmoniformes, Salmonidae. The record is from RefSeq and is a predicted model, not a curated record. The transcript has 3 exons.
CCAAGCUCUCUCCGCUACAUCACCAAUACUUUUUUCCCUGGCUGCGGUGUGUUUGUGCUUGAGCGAGUGUAUGGCGAAACCGGUUCUGUGCUGAUCCAGUUUGUGCGAUCCCAUGCACAGAGCCAGGAGCAGCGUACCUCUUGCCAACAUCCUGCCUCCACUCUGCUGCCUUUUCUGCUUUGAUUUCACACUGUCUGCUUUUCCACCAGACCUUUUCUUUCUUUAACUCUCUGCUCUCUUCCAAGAAUGAUCUAGGAAGAGGGGAAAGAAAUAAGAGAAAGGUGUCUGCGUGAAGGGGAGAUGAGGAGGCAGAAAAGGAGAGAGAGAGGGGAGAGGACUAGAGAAGACUGGAGUUAGGCUGCAACACGAGAGGCAAAGCAACGAGGAGAGGGAGAAAGAAGAGAGCAACAGGGAUCGAGGGAUGAUCGAGGUGGAAUCGGGCCGAAAACGCAGGAAAAGGAGGGAAAAAUUGCCAGACUCAUCCGACCUCUGCUGUGUGGGGACCGGACCCAUCACCUGACUGCCCUCUCCUGUCUUCCUGGUCCUCAGCAGAACAGCCAUGAGGUAGAGUCGGACAUUUUGGAAAAUUGUAUCCAGCGACAUCUUGCUAAGAUGGAUGCAAAGGCUUCUCUCUUCACCCUUCCACAUCCUCCUUUAACCCUGCACGACCAUCAUGUCCUGUGUCCCCAUCUCACCCUGUGAGUGAGAGCACAGCUCCUGUCCUUCAUUUGAACCACUGUCAGACUAACAAAGGCAACAUCUACCUGUAAUUGCCAGUGAAGACUGGGAGACAGUGGCUCAACCAGUAGGAGUUAGAAGAGAGAAAGGGCAGAAUUGCUCUUUAAGUCCUCAUAAGCAGAUGUAGCCAUUCUUGGCCAAUAGCAUAGAGUUGUUAAAUUGCAGAGCAGACCCACACCAUCAGGCUGGAGAUUGUCAAGUGUUACAUAGUGGUAUAUUAAGUGUAGGGGAAUUAUACUGACUGGGACUAUUUUAUUCUGAUUGACACAGCUCAGUGGACUGCCUAGGAGGUCCGUAGAGGCAAACGUCUCUAAAGAGCUAUUAGAGAAAUGAUUCAGAGCCGAGGUUAUUAAGAGAGUAUAUUACAUAUUAACAGAAUAUAUUAGGUAUGAAUACACACACUGUCAAUCAGUAUAUAUCUAGAAGGUAUGUAUUAUAUUGUAUGUUACACCGCAGCAUUGUUGAAUACUUGUUUCUGAUUGGCGAGAAUGGACAUUAACAAGUUCUUAUACAGAAUGUCUGGAAUUUAUAUGACAUGUUUCAUAUUGAUCAGAUUUGCUGCGUUUCUGCCGCAAACCCAACACAGUAGCCGGCCGGUUGCCUUAGAAAUGAAAAUGUCAGACGAGGUCAUAGCUUUUUGUCGUCGGUGCGACUAUGCGGUUCUUUUUUCUUUCGUAAAAAGGCGUUUCAUCCAUCAGACCAUGUUUGCUAAUGUGAAACCCCU